UUCCAAUUAUUAAAAAAAGAUGAGUAAGAAUAUUGUUGGUGUUCUUAACUCAAGAGAAAUGUUUUCAAUUAUUUAUUCAUUAAAUUUUGAAAACCCGGCUAAGUGAAUCAUAGAAUAUUAAGCACUACACCAUGACUUAAGAUUAGAAUUCAAGGAGACCUAUUGAGAAUAGAUUUCUUGUAGGCUUUGAGCAUCAGGAGGAUUAGCACUGCUAUUCCGAUUCAGAGAUAAGGUUAAACGACAGGCUUUGCCUAGACAGGUUAAUGGCUGGUGAUGACGGGGCAGAGCUGAGGAUAGAGUUCAACUCCUUAUUUUAAUUUCCGCUGCAGAACUAGCCAGUAUCUGUCUUUUGUUCCUUAACUUAAGACCUAUUAUGUUGUGAUUCUAAAAACAAUAUCUUUUGUUGAACCUAGACUAUUAACUCUCAAAUAUUUUGAUCAGUGAUUGUUGGUUAUCUGAAGCAUGACACUAAACUUGUGAUCCUGAAGUUGUUAUAAUUGUUGAUUGAUUUGUAUCA
Molecule: long non-coding RNA, 517 nt
Organism: Salvia miltiorrhiza (redroot sage)
Lineage: Eukaryota; Viridiplantae; Streptophyta; Magnoliopsida; Lamiales; Lamiaceae
Exons: 2
Source: RefSeq, a predicted model, not a curated record